Molecule: ribosomal RNA, 253 nt
Filed under: uncultured bacterium
Lineage: Bacteria
Description: partial 16S ribosomal RNA
Rfam family: Bacterial small subunit ribosomal RNA
Source: RNAcentral
UACGGGGGGGGCAAGCGUUGUUCGGAAUUACUGGGCGUAAAGGGUUCGUAGGUGGCCAACUAAGUCAUACGUGAAAUCCCUCGGCUUAACCGGGGAACUGCGUCUGAUACUGGAUGGCUUGAGAUUGGGAGAGGGAUGCGGAAUUCCAGGUGUAGCGGUGAAAUGCGUAGAUAUCUGGAGGAACACCGGUGGCGAAGGCGGCAUCCUGGACCAACACUGACGCUGAGGAGCGAAAGCCAGGGGAGCAAACGGG